GAUGAAGAACGUAGCGAAAUGCGAUACGUAGUGUGAAUUGCAGAAUUCAGUGAAUCAUCGAAUCUUUGAACGCACAUUGCACCUCUCGGUAUUCCGGGAGGUAUGCCUGUUCGAGCGUCAUUUGUACCCUCAAGCUCUGCUUGGUGUUGGGUGUUUGUUCCGCCUCUGUGUGUGAACUCGCCUCAAAACAAUUGGCAGCCGGCGUACUUGUUUCGGAGCGCAGCACAUUUUGCGAUCCAGAUCAAAGUACAGCGGCAUCCAAGAAGCCUUAUUUAACGCUCUUGACCUCGGAUCAGGUAGGGAUACCCGCUGAACUUAAGCAUAUCAAUAAGCGGAGGA
Molecule: unclassified non-coding RNA, 339 nt
Filed under: soil metagenome
Description: partial contains 5.8S ribosomal RNA, internal transcribed spacer 2, and large subunit ribosomal RNA
Rfam family: 5.8S ribosomal RNA (bases 1-120)
Source: RNAcentral